CAAACCAUUAGAACGGAGGUCUCUUUUAACUUCUCGUCAAACACGCCUGAGGAACGUGUUCCUUUUGUUUGUCAGUAAAAACUAAAACUAUAAAGUAAACAGAAUUUUACCAGAUAUAAACUUUGGGACAUAAAUUUGUAGCAUCAUUUUUUUGCUCUUUUGGGAGAAAAAUAAGGUAUAAACCACCAAGUUUCUCCUGAGUCAACCUAAUAUCUUGGCACGUGUCCCUCUUCUUUGCUUCUCAUCUGUUUAGCUUUUAUUUCUCCAUACAGUAUAUUGCUGCUGCAUCUCAUCUGGGUUAAUGAUUAACUCCUGUAAACACAGACUGAGAGCUGAAAUGGACUGAAUCCAGUUAACCAGAGGACUCUGGCUUUACCAAAACAAGCAGGAUAUCUGAAAAGAAGCCUCUUGGAUGAUGGGAGAUUCUUGGAAGCUGAUGGGCUCGUGGUCUUCAUCAGGCUGCAUAACAAAAACAUAAUGUUCUUUUUCACUCAACAUUGUUGCCACCCUGAUGAAGGAUGAAGUACCUUGGAAAGAAACUGGAGGUUAGAUGAUGAGGUGCGAUGAGGCUUUGACUUGACGAACAAGUGCUUGUGAGAGGAAGAGAAAAGAAGCGAGGGAAGACAGAGACAGAAAGCCAACUUGUGUCUUUGACAUCCAGUGAGAGAGGUGAGGAAACCAAGCUGGGAGUAAAACCACUUUUUCACAAGAUGGAGAAAGUCUGGCACAAAUCUUUCGCUCUGGGCGUGUUUUUAUUACUCUCCAAUAUCACAGGACGCCAGAUCACAGGCAUAAAUGCAAAAAAAAAAAAAAAAAGAGCUUGAACUUUGAAUCCAGGGAUUAAAAAAGCAUUGAAGUGUAAAUCCAUCACAGAAAAACCAUCCAGUUUUAUGAUGUUCAUAAGCUGAGAUAAAACAAGAAUGAAAGGAAUAAAGACACAUGAUUCAUGUGAUAAAUUAUAUCAUCACUUAUUUACAACAGCUGAUUUAGUGUUGGGAGGCUGGUGUCCAGGAGGAGGAUUUGGCACCAUCUCCCGUCUCAGACUUUUAUUUUGAAAUACUGACCCAUAAAAACUCCCCGAAAAUAUUUGAUGACACCUGUAAUCUAUAAAUAUGCAUAUGUAUUAUAUAUAUUUAUAUUUAUUUAAAAUUAUAUAUUUUUUAAAUACCAAUGGGAAUUAACAACUUAGUAAACUAUAAUAAUUUAAUAACUAAUCACUAUGUUUAUGAAAUACUAUAUUUUUAAUAUCUAUAACUAAUAAUUAUAAAUGGCGACAUAAUAAACUAUAAUUUAAUAAGCUGUUUUUUUAAAUGGAAUUGCUGUAUUUGUAAUAAUUAAUAAAUGAAAUGUACUUUUCAACUACAACUUAAUAAUUAAUAACUAUACUUACUAUAUUUUAAUACCUAUAAUAACCAUAACUACUAACUAAACCCUUUCAUGCAUGAAUUAUGACAACCUUUAAGUGUUUUUAUUACUCUUUAGGCAUGAAAAAAGUAACUUAAUUUUGUUUAAACAUGCAUUUUUCAAGGAGUUUUUCACAUGUCCACUCGGGUGGACAGCAUGCGUUUGAGUUUUCAACUGUAUUUAAAAAAACAAUGAAUAAAAUGAUAUAUUAUGUAAAAAACUAUAAAAUAAUGUAUAUUUUUAAUGCUGGAAAACUAAUGUGUUCACAUAUUUUAUUGCUCAAUACAAUGCAAAAGCGUUGAAUAUAUAGAUAUAUAUUCAUAUUUUUAUAUAUAUAUUUAUAUAAAUAUAACUUUCACUCACAUAAUGGAAUUAAUCUGCACAAAAUAUUGUUUUUGUUACAAAGUUACAUUCUAAUAACAUAAAUCAAUUGAUUUACAGCCAAGAAGUUACUGCAGAUGAAGCAUUUUCAAGAACAAGUUGCAGUAAUAGUAUGAAUUGUAGUAAUAUAGAAUAUAACUAGCAUUGCAUGAUGUCCAAUUUAGUGGACAGAUGAUUAAUCGUAAUUUCCUCCCAAUAUAAAAUCAAUACUUGGACAUUUUAACAGUUAUAUUACUCCUUAGUUGUUACUUGAGGUUACCAGAUUUUAUUUACCUGCAAGUGUCUCUCUCUCAUUCUCUCUCCAUAUAUAUAUAUAUAUAUAUAUAUAUAUAUAUAAUGUGACUUUUUCACAUGUUAAAUGGUGAUUAGAGCUGCAACUAAUGAUCAUUUUUCUUUGAAACAUAGCUUUUAAGCCAACAUGGAGGAAAAGUCCUUCAAGACUUAAGAAAAAAAUGGAAAUUUGAACGUCUACAAUUCCAUGACAACUCCAUCUGCUGAAGAAGAUCGUGUGAUAUGAUGACAUGAGCUCCCGAACAGCUACUAAAUGAACCUCAUGGUUUCCUCCGGCGCUGUCUCCAGAGACACACACCCUCUCUGGAUCAAUGCUGUAGCGUUCUAAAACCUGAGAGGACAGGAAAGCCCGUGACGCCGCUAACGCAUCGUGGUACUGAUCUGGGAACACCGCCUCUGGAGCAAGACGAACUUACUCGACCGACAUGACGACAGAGUCCAGGUCCUCCGCCAUUUUCCGACAAAGACGGUCGUAUGAUCGCAUCCCUGUGAAGCAGGUGGACUCGGCUUUUUUAUUAGACUCACCUGUAGAUGAGAAUGAAAUGCAACUACAACUGUGGAAAAACAAAAUAUAAAGUCUUUCAGAGUUUUAAAAUCAGCACUCACGUCCGCUGCCAAGGGCCCAUCCUCCACCGUGGAAAUAUAUGACUCCCCUUUUCAGCUGCUUCCCCCCCUUUGGCUGGAAGACCCGGACGGGCACGCCGCCCAGCGUGGAGUCCGUCACGUGCACGGCGGGGCAGGAGCGAGCCUCAAUCACCUCCACCCAGGACACCACCCUGUUCAACAGGUGGACCCGAUGGCACACACCCACCCUGACAGCUCUCCGCUUCCUCUCACGUUAACCUGUCCUGCUCUGCUCUCGUGUCGGCGCAUCCUUCAGCUCUCACCGCCUGCAUGAAGCUCCGGAACAGCGCGUCCAGCAGCAUCAGCUUCCACGGCUCGCU
Long non-coding RNA from Siniperca chuatsi (mandarin fish), 3020 nucleotides. RefSeq lists it as uncharacterized. The transcript is spliced from 7 exons. Lineage: Eukaryota; Metazoa; Chordata; Actinopteri; Centrarchiformes; Sinipercidae. The record is from RefSeq and is a predicted model, not a curated record.